UGAAGCUGUAACUCUGCAUGCUUAGACUCAGAAUAGCAAGCUGUCUGCUGACAUCAGAAGUGGUAGCCUGAACCAAUCACAAUGCUUCACCAUAGGAUUGGCUGAGACUGACAGAGGCAGAGCCAGCAUGAUUCAAACACAGCCCUGGCCAAUCCGCAUCUCCUCAUAGAGAUUAAUUGAAUCAAUGAAUCUCUGAGGAAAGUUCAGUGUCUGCAUGCAGAGGGAG
This is a non-coding RNA of Pelobates cultripes (western spadefoot toad), 226 nucleotides long. The record is from the annotation of a GenBank genome assembly. NCBI's taxonomy places the organism in Eukaryota, Metazoa, Chordata, Amphibia, Anura, Pelobatidae.